RNAcentral lists this ribosomal RNA (726 nucleotides) under Salmonella enterica. RNAcentral describes it as "partial 23S ribosomal RNA". It matches the Rfam family "Bacterial large subunit ribosomal RNA", at positions 463 to 1191 of the family's 2925-position model. Lineage: Bacteria; Pseudomonadati; Pseudomonadota; Gammaproteobacteria; Enterobacterales; Enterobacteriaceae. The record is from RNAcentral.
AGGCUAAAUACUCCUGACUGACCGAUAGUGAACCAGUACCGUGAGGGAAAGGCGAAAAGAACCCCGGCGAGGGGAGUGAAAAAGAACCUGAAACCGUGUACGUACAAGCAGUGGGAGCACCCUUUGGGUGUGACUGCGUACCUUUUGUAUAAUGGGUCAGCGACUUAUAUUCUGUAGCAAGGUUAACCGAAUAGGGGAGCCGGAGGGAAACCGAGUCUUAACCGGGCGUUAAGUUGCAGGGUAUAGACCCGAAACCCGGUGAUCUAGCCAUGGGCAGGUUGAAGGUUGGGUAACACUAACUGGAGGACCGAACCGACUAAUGUUGAAAAAUUAGCGGAUGACCUGUGGCUGGGGGUGAAAGGCCAAUCAAACCGGGAGAUAGCUGGUUCUCCCCGAAAGCUAUUUAGGUAGCGCCUCGUGAAUUCAUCUCCGGGGGUAGAGCACUGUUUCGGCUAGGGGGCCAUCCCGGCUUACCAACCCGAUGCAAACUGCGAAUACCGGAGAAUGUUAUCACGGGAGACACACGGCGGGUGCUAACGUCCGUCGUGAAGAGGGAAACAACCCAGACCGCCAGCUAAGGUCCCAAAGUCAUGGUUAAGUGGGAAACGAUGUGGGAAGGCCCAGACAGCCAGGAUGUUGGCUUAGAAGCAGCCAUCAUUUAAAGAAAGCGUAAUAGCUCACUGGUCGAGUCGGCCUGCGCGGAAGAUGUAACGGGGCUAAACCAUG